GAUGAAGAACGUAGUGAAAUGCGAUACUUGGUGUGAAUUGCAGAAUCCCGUGAACCAUCGAGUCUUUGAACGCAAGUUGCGCCCGAAGCCAUUAGGCCGAGGGCACGCCUGCCUGGGCGUCACACGUCGUUGCCCCCCCAUCUACUCCUUCGGGAUUGCGGGGGGCGGAUGAUGGCCUCCCGUGCGCCUCGUCGCGGGGUUGGCAUAAAUGCCAAGUCCUCGGCGACGCACGCCACGACAAUCGGUGGUUGCGAAACCUCGGUUGCCCGUCGUGUGCGGUCGUCGCGCAUCGAGGGCUCGAAAAAAUUGUCGGGCUCCGGCUCGGCUUUCAACGCGACCCCAGGUCAGGCGGGGUUACCCGCUGAAUUUAAGCAUAUCAAUAAGCGGAGGA
This 391-nucleotide unclassified non-coding RNA is filed under the name soil metagenome. RNAcentral describes it as "partial contains 5.8S ribosomal RNA, internal transcribed spacer 2, and large subunit ribosomal RNA". The stretch from base 1 to 122 matches the Rfam family "5.8S ribosomal RNA", at positions 35 to 154 of the family's 154-position model. The record is from RNAcentral.